CGUAGGCAGCAAGCGUUGUUCGGAGUUACUGGGCGUAAAGAGUGCGUAGGCGGUGCCCUAAGUCUGUUGUGAAAUCUCCCGGCUUAACUGGGAGGGUGCGGUGGAGACUGGGGUGCUUGAGUGUGGGAGAGGUAAGCGGAAUUCCUGGUGUAGCGGUGAAAUGCGUAGAUAUCAGGAGGAACACCGGUGGUGUAGACGGCUUACUGGACCACGACUGACGCUGAGACACGAAAGCGUGGGUAGCAAACAGGAUUAGAUACCCUGGUAGUCCACGCCCUAAACGAUGCACACUUGGUGUGAGCCAUUCAUUUGGUUCGUGCCGGAGCUAACGCGUUAAGUGUGCCGCCUGGGGAGUACGGUCGCAAGGCUG
RNAcentral lists this ribosomal RNA (370 nucleotides) under uncultured organism. Its description in RNAcentral is "bacterial SSU rRNA". It matches the Rfam family "Bacterial small subunit ribosomal RNA", at positions 526 to 896 of the family's 1533-position model. The record is from RNAcentral.